Ctenopharyngodon idella (grass carp) is the source of this 387-nucleotide long non-coding RNA. RefSeq lists it as uncharacterized. Lineage: Eukaryota; Metazoa; Chordata; Actinopteri; Cypriniformes; Xenocyprididae. The record is from RefSeq and is a predicted model, not a curated record. The transcript has 3 exons.
UGCACAUGCGCCAAAAUACUACGUCAUGACGGCGCACUACUUCACCAGAGUUUGAAAAAUGCACUUUCAGCCAUCUUUCUGUAAUCACGAUGCGUGAGGCAACUUUGCUGAUCAAAGAAGAAGAAAACAAAGGAGCGCACGUUUGGAUGACUACAGAUGAGACGUUAUGUACUACAAAUAAAGAGGCAAUUAUAUAUUCAUUUUGUAGGAUCAGUACAGAUUUGUUAUUGGAGAUACAGUGCAAGCUGUGUGGAAUCAAAGACCCGUAUUGAUGAGGCCAGUGUCAGUGAAGAUGGUGUGGUCACUGGAAUCCUGGUGUUUUUGGGAAAUGUGAAGGAGCCUCUCCCAGGAUUCUACUACAGUGUUGUCCUGAUGACUGAGGUAAUU